AUAACCUUUGUCUUUGAAAGACGAGCGAAAUUGUAUUGUUAUUGUUAACAAUACAAUUUCGCUUGUCUUUCAAAGACAAAGUGUCAA
This 87-nucleotide microRNA precursor is filed under the name Paramuricea clavata. Lineage: Eukaryota; Metazoa; Cnidaria; Anthozoa; Malacalcyonacea; Plexauridae. The record is from RNAcentral.